Molecule: long non-coding RNA, 2256 nt
Filed under: Trifolium pratense (red clover)
Lineage: Eukaryota; Viridiplantae; Streptophyta; Magnoliopsida; Fabales; Fabaceae
Description: long non-coding RNA (TPRA_LNC008017)
Source: RNAcentral
AAUAACAAGAAUCAACUUUCAUCAUCUAUACUUUCUCUCUCUCACGCCUAACAACAACAACAAGGCAUUCUCUAUUCUCUCUCCCUCACAAAACGUGAAUCACCACCACUCCAUAGAUAAAGCACCAAGCUUUCUUUCACUCUAGUCAUGAAUAAAACAGCAAGUUCUUCACUUUGUUCUUCCUCUUCACGCAAACAUCAUCAAAAACACCAUAAACCCCUCUCUAGUAUUUGAUUAUAUUUCAGCCCUAAGCCCCAAAUUCUAUUCUUCAAUUUAUUCUUGCAUGCACAAGAAAUUCACUCAAAAUCAAUCCUCUGAAUAUCUAAGGAACUAAGGUAUGGUUAUUAGUUCUAACCUCCAUUUUUGUACCUCUUAAGCUUUUCAUAUAUCAAGUUCAUGUCUUUUCGUCACACUAAGACCUAUGACAAGAUCUAAUUUCAGUUUCCUCUCCUUCUCCUUUCAAGUCCGAAAAUCAUACACCAAACCCCAAUCUUCCAACAUUUCUUCAGAUUCUGCUUUGCAUGUGUUUGGAUGCUCUCAAGAUCACUCUUUUGGAUUUCUAUGAAAUGUGGAAUAUUAAGGACUCGAGAGAUGGAACCAUUCUUGGUAGAAUUAGCUUGAGGAGGUUGUUAGCAGCAAAGUCUGCGUUUUGUUGUUAUUGUGUUGUUCAGCCACUUUUGUUCAUUGAUUCCUAUGAGAAUUCAUGGUAGGAGAAACAAGAAUUUGGAAUGGUUGUGCAAAACCCGUAUUUUAGGACUGACCCUCACUAAUAAGGUGACUGUUCACUCUCUAUACAUCUGUUUCGUAUGGGGUUUGUUUCUAUGGUUAGCUAACGAAAUUUCGGUCGUUUCGACGCCAAUUUCAUGAAUUUUGGAGCUUUAACGAAUCCUAGAGACACGUUUGAAGUCCAGGGUUAGAUGCAGAAUUUUGGGUUUGAAGUUAGCAUCACAGUCAUCAUCUUGAGUUAUUGGAAAUUCUGUGGAGUAGCUCAUUUCUUAAAGCUUUUGAGAUUAAUCUCAUUCAGGUGGGUUCCUUUAGAAGCUUAACUUUUAGAUUAGUUAGCACCUUUAGUUUCCCCAAAUUCAAUAUAUGUAUGAUAACAUUAGUAUUAGUUAGGAAAUUAGUCUCCCUAAAAUUAUGCAUUAUGCAUGACAACAAUAGGAAAACUUAGGAAAUAAUUGUGUGAGAAGGUUUAAUCCCAAAACCAUCUCUAUUCUAAUCAUAUAAUAAUAUUUUAGUUGUUUAUGACUGGACAUGAAUGAGAUUGUAGGUGGAAACUGAUAAACUCUUUUAAAAGUAAAAGCUGAGAAUUGAACUGAUAUUCUCACAUAGCGAGCAUCUUGCUUCGCUAAGCGAACGUAUCAGAUUAGGACUCUGUAGAAUCAACAUUUUAAAUAAAAAUCCACUCGUUUUAUAUCCCUGACUAUUCUGGAAUAUUUCGUAAGCAGCGUAAUAAUAUUAUGUGAUUAGAAUGUUUAUCACGCUCAGGAACUUAAUUUCAGGAAUCAGGACAGUUAGAAUUACCCCGAGAAGGUUUUCUUUCUUUUGGGUAGGAUAACCAUUCAUGAUUAGGAAUUAUGUUUCAGAAUUUAUCAGGAUGUUUGGUCAUUAGUACCAAUAUCAGGAAGCGUGGUCAUUAGUACCAUGUCAGGGGAUUCAUUCAGAAUCCAAAAAUUAUGUAAUAAGAAUUGUAAGCUCAUGUUGUAUUCCGACGUACAUUAUUAUCGGUAAUACCAGGCCAGGCACUCCGGGACCAGCUUACCUCGGAGUGAUCCUGUUAUGAUAAAAUUGACAAGAUAAUUAUUAUGUGUGUUACACCUUUAUUGCUUUAUUAUCAUAUUAUGAAAACUUCAGGAUUAUGUCACAAUUAGACUAUUAGAUAUUCAGGUUCAGGUUAAAGUUAGAAACUAUUAGUUUCAGUUGCCCCGGUGUAGUCACCAGUAGUUGGGUAGUAGGAGCUCACUAAGGCUUAGUAGUCUCGUCCCAUGACUUUCAAUUUUUUUUAGGUAAACAGGUUAACCGGAGCAAGGACCAGGCAGGAACUGAUGAUCGAGGUUGAGCUUGGAUUAUCGGAUUAGAAGACUAUCGUCUUCUUUUUUGUUUUUAUGUUAAUCUGUUAAGUUAGAAUUUAAUUCUCUUCCGCUAUAUUGUACCAGAUUAUCACGUUAUUCAUGUGAUAUCUUGUAAUUCAAUUAAAUUAUUCUGUAAUUUUAUUGUACUCAGAUUCAAUUAUUAAUAUCUUGACUAAAUAUUCUA